RNAcentral lists this unclassified non-coding RNA (623 nucleotides) under Hevea brasiliensis (rubber tree). Lineage: Eukaryota; Viridiplantae; Streptophyta; Magnoliopsida; Malpighiales; Euphorbiaceae. The record is from RNAcentral.
GCUUGUUCAACUGCUGAAGUUUACAAGCGCUUUCGAUUGGAUAAAACCAGUCAGAUUGAUCCUUUAACAUUAUUGGAGAAGAUCUCAAGGAAUGGAAUAUCUCAAGAUGUUUGUAUCAAUGAUUUGGAACCUCCUGCAUUUGAAGUUCUCCCAUCCCUUAAAAGAUUAAAACAGCGUAUAAUUGCAGCCAGCCGUGGACAAUAUGAUGCAGUUUUUAUGUCUGGGAGCGGAAGUACCAUUGUUGGGAUUGGUUCACCAGAUCCUCCACAAUUUAUAUACGAUGAUGAUGACUACAAGGAUGUUUUCGUGUCAGAGGCAAACUUCUUGACCCGUGAAGAAAAUCAGUGGUACAAAGAACCUGCUUCAACUGCUACUUGUAGUUCCCAGUCCGAUAUCGUUCCCAGUCUAUUGAGUGACAUAUCUUGUAAGAAAAACGACAUACAUGAAUUUUUUUUAGGAUUUCUCAUUAAUGUUAAUUUAUGCCGCCUGUAGUUUUGUCCAUCUUAGGAAUAGGUUUUUAAGUUAAAUUUAUUGUCAUGAACAAAUAAGAGCAAUUGCUCAACUCAAAUCGUGUACUAGUUGCAGUUUCACUGGCAAAUUGUUCACUUUGCAAGGUACAUAAC